RNAcentral lists this transfer RNA (67 nucleotides) under Proisotoma minuta. Its description in RNAcentral is "tRNA-Ser". The record is from RNAcentral. Lineage: Eukaryota; Metazoa; Arthropoda; Collembola; Entomobryomorpha; Isotomidae.
AAGAGAAGGGGUUCAAGUUUAAGCUUCUAACUUAAAAUUUUAGCGGUUAAACUCCGUUAUUCUCUUU